GUAAACGGUAUCCGUCCAUAAAUAACAGAACAAUAGACGGAGGGUAACAAAAUCUAACGGAAAAGAAUUUGAGGGGUUAAAUUACAAAAUAAUAAGUUGGGGGGAUUUUUUACGAAAAAUAUUUAGUUGAGGGGAUUUAUCACUAAAAACCCGUAUAAAAAUACAUGUUUUACACGUAGAGGACAUAUAUGCAUAUCUAAUCUUAGAAAAGAAAAGAAUCAAUUCUUUGUAGGAACAAAAUGAUGAUGUAAUAGUUACUACGAUAACAAAAUUGCAGUAGAUUG
This 284-nucleotide long non-coding RNA is filed under the name Brassica napus (rape). RNAcentral describes it as "long non-coding RNA (BNAP_LNC023995)". The record is from RNAcentral. Lineage: Eukaryota; Viridiplantae; Streptophyta; Magnoliopsida; Brassicales; Brassicaceae.